Molecule: long non-coding RNA, 250 nt
Organism: Cyprinus carpio (common carp)
Lineage: Eukaryota; Metazoa; Chordata; Actinopteri; Cypriniformes; Cyprinidae
Exons: 2
Source: RefSeq, a predicted model, not a curated record
UAUAUAUAUAUAUAUAUAUAUAUAUAUAUAUAUAUAUAUAUAUAUAUAUAUAUAUAUAUAUAUAUAUAUAUAUAUAUAUAGUGAUGGGUUAGAAUGGAUGCACACUGCAGCAUCAAGGAACCGAGGUCCUUCCUAGUUUGCUACAUGACAAAAUGGUCUCCAAUGAAAAUGUGGUGCACUUAACUUUUUUUAUACUAAACCUUAAGUAUAAAACAAAAUUUAGAAUAAAAGCUAUUUUGAAUUUUGACAA